RNAcentral lists this ribosomal RNA (23 nucleotides) under Aspergillus nomiae. RNAcentral describes it as "Aspergillus nomius partial 18S ribosomal RNA". Lineage: Eukaryota; Fungi; Ascomycota; Eurotiomycetes; Eurotiales; Aspergillaceae. The record is from RNAcentral.
GGAACCUGCGGAAGGAUCAUCGG